Molecule: ribosomal RNA, 470 nt
Filed under: uncultured soil bacterium
Lineage: Bacteria
Description: bacterial SSU rRNA
Rfam family: Bacterial small subunit ribosomal RNA
Source: RNAcentral
AGAUUGAACGCUAGCGGGAUGCUUACACAUGCAAGUCGAACGGCAGCGCGGACUUCGGUCUGGCGGCGAGUGGCGAACGGGUGAGUAAUAUAUCGGAACGUGCCCAGUAGCGGGGGAUAACUACGCGAAAGCGUGGCUAAUACCGCAUACGCCCUACGGGGGAAAGGGGGGGAUCGCAAGACCUCUCACUAUUGGAGCGGCCGAUAUUAGAUUAGCUAGUUGGUGAGGUAAGCUCACCAAGGCGACGAUCUGUAGCUGGUUUGAGAGGACGACCAGCCACACUGGGACUGGAGACACGGCCCAGACCUCCGUAGGGAGGCAGCAGGUGGGGUAAUUUGGACAAGUACGGGGGGAAACCCUGAACUCCAGCCACUCCCGCGUCGUGCGAUAGGAACGGCCGUUCGGGCGUAGUAAAGACUACUUUUGGACGAAGGAACGGAAACGGACCGUACCCGUUAACGUAACCGGGU